Hylaeus anthracinus is the source of this 521-nucleotide long non-coding RNA. RefSeq lists it as uncharacterized. The transcript is spliced from 2 exons. The record is from RefSeq and is a predicted model, not a curated record. NCBI's taxonomy places the organism in Eukaryota, Metazoa, Arthropoda, Insecta, Hymenoptera, Colletidae.
CCAACAUCGAGGACGAUACAAUCAAGUUAGAUGAUUGGAUGCUUUCGUUCGAAAAUUGUAAAGGAAGCAUUUAAAAAAUGCGGAAAAUAAAGAGGUGUUACGCUGAUAAUCUACGUUAUCUAACCAAUACAAGACUACCUGUUUGUCAUGAUUGCAAAGUAGAAACCACCCUUAAGUUACUUACUAGCGUGGAAAGCGCGGCGCGAAAGGUAUGUACCGAUGGAUCUUUAAUUAAAUAUAUAUUUAUUUAAUUACAUAUAAUUACAAUCACACAUGUUUUUACAUUACAUACGUAGAACUGUCAAUUUUCAGAAAAUGAAAGAAAAUUAGUUCUCUAUUGGGUAAUCGUUACAAGCGAAAUUAAGGACGGUAGCAUCUAAAUCUCAUUUCCGGGACUAGGAGACUGAGUAGGACACGAUCAUGUGAAACAAUGCCGAUUUUCUGACAUUAAGGGACCCUUGGUUUUUCUUCCGUACAAAUUUCAUUUUUAAUUUAGAAUCACGUUGAAGGGUAAUAGGAAG